GUUUCCGCCAAUGUGGUCUCUUUGGCUGGUAUCAGUGUGGAGGAGGGAGCAGGUUUUUUGUCUUCUCUCUUUUUUUUUAAUUUCUCUCUGCUCUAAGUGGAUUUUUAAUAAAUAGUAUUAAAAUAAUACUUGAAUAUUAAUUUUGAUCUUUACAUUUUUGGUGACUCUACAAAGGGACUUAGUUUUAUUUUGUGUUUUUUAAAGCCGUCAGUUUCUGCUUUAGCUGCACUACCAGAGCACAGCUGCUUCUAGCAGCUGAUAGCAAUCACCAUUAAAGCAACAGUUUGCCUAAAUCCCAUUGUUUGAAACUAUAACUGGUUUGCAACCAAAAGCUGCUUUACUGCUGGGAGUUUUCAAACCCCAGCUCCAGUCAGCUCUCCUACAGAGCCAGCUGUCUUAAUUUGGGGGACUUAGUGGAGAAGCCAGUCCCCACCCACGGCCCAGAGAGCAGCAGAUCAGCCUGAUUGGCCAUUCCUGCCAGCAGCUUGGCCAAACCCCAGCUAAGCAGCAGGCCCACUUCUCCCCCACUGCCUCAAAUUGCUACCUCAGCUGGGGCACCCUGGGCCCACCCGGGUGCUGCUACUAAAACCUGCAGCUGCCACAACCCUGAGCUUUCUGCGGCUUCUGCUGAUCUACUCCUGUUCUAGCCGGAAAUUUAAUUUUUCUGAUCUUCAAUAUUAACACAAAAAAUGCUACAAGAGAUUAAAGCAUAAAUGCAGGCCGAGAGGAAAAUCCAAUCAAAAAAUUUACACGAUCUAAUGAAAAAUACUGAAUCCAUUAUGAUAGAGACAUGAGGAGAGAAGGUUCUGCAGGACCAAGUGACCAAGAUACAGGGCUGGAGAUCUGGCUCUAGAUGUCUGUCAAGACAAGAUUCCAACGGAAUGUCCCUGGUUGGUGGCAGUUUGAGUUGACAUUGGGGAGGGGUUUUUGGACUUGGUCUCUGACUGGGAGAGAUACAUUCUCUUCCUGGAGGUUUAAAGCUGGCUGAAAGACUUUUGUGAGGCUGAUUUGAUUUUUUUGUUUUCUCUGACUUUGAGCAGUUGAAGUUAAUGCUGAGAAGAGAAACUUGGCUUUUGGGACUUGGUCUCUGUGUCUCUGGCUCUGAGCAGUGGAAGCUGAUCAAGGGAGAAGCUUUUGAGUUGGUGGUCUAUAAGAGAGUUGAGCUGGCCAGGAGAAAAGGAGAGACUUUGAACUUUGUUUCUUUCUGGGGUUAAGCUGAGAGAUCUGGCUGAUUUGGGAAGAAGAAAGAAGAUUUUGAACUGCUAUUGUCCUCCAUCUUUCUAACUGUCUAAGAGUCACACUUGUGAGUCCCCAAACCCUCAAUUUUGAAAUUCCUCAUCCCUCUUACCUCAGUUUCCCAUCAUGUUAUCCCAAUAAACCCCUUGACUGAGAAAGCAACUAGAGUACCAUUACAGUUCAACUCAGGAAGGAGGGAAGGAGCCAAAGGCUUCAAGAAGAUCUGAGAGGUGAGGGAGGCAAAAGGGAGAGGUUGGUUGAGGGAGUGAGGGAGGAAGGGGAAUCGGAAAUAGACUGAUCAGUAGGGAUCGAUAGGCAAACCUCAGAGUAAACCCCAGGGCAGUCCCUUAUAAGCAGUGUCUCCUAUGUACCAGUAUCCCUGUGUGUGGCAUCCCUCCAUUACAUAUAAGCAGGUUUAGGUUCCUAUAGCAGCCAUCUCUAGUCACAACCAGCCAGAGAACAGUCAUUGCUGAAGAAACAGUUUCACCUCAGUUUACCUUUAUAUUUCAACAAGAAAUAGUUUCCUUCCAGCUUACAUCUUUUAUUUUACCAUCCAAAACUAGUCUGAAUUUUGUAAGCCUGUUCCUGAACCACAAAUAGAGGACAAUUCUAAUUCUCCCAAAAUGGAGAUGAGACACCACUCUCGUAUACAUCAGGUAUACAUCCUUCUCUCUCCUACUCUGCAACAUCUCUCUCAUGCUCUACAACUCCUGGCUGAGCUUACCUCCCCUGAUCCUUCUUCUAAUCCCCCAUCCUCUCCUGUCCCUUCUCCAACCCCACAACCAGCACAGACCCAAAGAAAUCUCGUCUUGUUACAGUACCUGUUUCUACCCAUAUUGCCUCAGUAUCCCCCCUGUCAUCGAAUGAUUCCUAUGGAUUCCUUUUCCUUUUAAGGGAAGUGCCUGGAAUAAGUUGCAAUGAGGAUGUGGUGACCCCAAGACACCAUACACCUUUCACUCCUCAAGAAAUUAGAGAAAUGAAAUACAAUGUACCUGUUUUGAAUGCGAACCUCUUGUGAUAACCAAGAAAAUGGCUGAUAUUCUUUUUUAUCAAUAUGACCCAUCCUAUAAAGAUGUUGAGAAUUUACUCAA
Non-coding RNA from Monodelphis domestica (gray short-tailed opossum), 2327 nucleotides. NCBI's taxonomy places the organism in Eukaryota, Metazoa, Chordata, Mammalia, Didelphimorphia, Didelphidae. The record is from RefSeq and is a predicted model, not a curated record.